AUAAAACACGAGACAAUCAUUUUAACAAUUAUAUUAAAUUAUGUAAAAUGAUUGAGGACUUGUAUUUAUCAUGGGGUUCGAAGUCAUGACAAAUUAUACAUAGGUUUGUUAACCCUAAUUACUUUACAAUACAAGUUAUAAAGCUGAUGAGUUAGUUAUAUCUAGAAGAAUUAUAUUAAUUUGAAAGGAGAAAACCAUAUUAGAUAAAAGUGUGAUAUAUUUUACCUUUACCUAAUUGGGCGAACGCAACCCAGACAGGAUUUAGGAUACAUCGUCUCCUGCCUCAACACUGUACACGUUACCACCUCGUCAGGGUGCUACUAAUACUAAGCACAUCGGUGGUUCUUGGUUAAAAGUUCACAUUGCUGUGGGUCAAACCCUUAAGAUCCAGAGCGAAUAAGGGUUCUUCCAAAAUUCCACAAAUUAAUCGACAUAACGUAAUUCGUGUUAAUUAGAAAACAAUUUAACCUCGCAGUGGGUCACAUCAAAAUCGAGCGGAAGGGAUUUAGCCGGCAAUUACUGGGGGUAGGAACCCAACAUCGAACCAGCACUCGCGAUUACCGAAUUCAAGCACAGAACCAUCAUCCUUAAGGGGGCUGAGGCUUAGAAAGAGAUUUUACGUUAACACAUUACUUUUGUUGAAAAUAUUCUAAGUCCAGACUGCCGAGCAGACUGACAAGGAUUCAUUACGUACCACAUUACUCAAGAUUUAAGAUCCUCGAGUAUGGUCUGUGCACUAGGUUAUAGGCAAAGUUCAAGAAUAGUUUGUCCGAGCUUGGAACGACCUACGCUCGGAUAUAUUCGUACACGUUACCUUGGGCCCCUGAUAUGUAGGAGAAGUACGUUAUAACUUCGUCAAAAGAGGGGUUACGAUACAAACUCCAACGAGAGGUUAUUGUCCUACCUCUCUAGGAAGUCAGGGCAUAUCUGCUCCUUACAGACUUUUUCAAGAUUCAAAAACUGGGGGGAGGGAGGGGGUGUUCCACCUCCCUCAUAGUUUGAUCUAGUUGGAAGGCAAACAAAAUUUUGAACUUUUUGAGAGUGAUAUGUAAGAAGUGGAUAAAAUAACCAACUUCUGAAGACUUUUUUCAGACAUUUUGUCUUGCGUAGCCCUUCCUGACCCCCUUGCAUACGAGUAGAGAUCAACCACAUGGAAAAAUUCCCUACAAAAUAAUAAUUUAAAGAUACUUACCUAUUCAAUCUUCCAUAUCAAAUUUCAAUUGUCGUAAUUAAUUUUUAUAUUUUUUUAAAUUGCCUAUUACACAGUCAAUUACCUAUACAUUCUCAUCUAUGUUUUUUCUUUUCGUAUUCUUCUGGGUAAUUAAAAUUCAAUGCAAGAUAUGUAUAUAAACCUCAAGCGAACCAGUAAUUUUGAGAUACUUGAGUAUUCAUUCGACGUAUCACACUUCUGUGUAUAGCAUUAGAUAAAAAGUUGAAACAAUACCUAAUAGAUACCUACCAUGGAGAAACUUACAAUUUUCAUAAUCAAUUUAUUGAUUGUCUGCGUUACAAUAGUUCCAGAAAUCGAAUCUCGACGAAUGGACUCUGGAAUGGACUCUGGAAUGAACUCCGGAAUGUGCUGUGUUAUGAAUGGUGUAGUAUUCAACAAUAUGAACACUUGCAUGAUGAUGUGUAAACAAGGGUGUCAGUCCAAAGGAUGCGGCGGAUUUAAACAUUGUAUGCCGAUAGUGGGCGCUCGUACCGAAGCGUUUGGUUGUUUUUGCAAAAUGUAAUGAUCAGUGUAGUUACCUAUACGUGCACGCAAGGUCAAAAUUUCACGUGUUGUGACCAGUUGAUCUAGGAUUUCUGUCCUAUUAUAUCGUAGUAUGUAUGUAUCACAAUAAAUCCAUUCAUAACUCGA
Molecule: long non-coding RNA, 1861 nt
Organism: Planococcus citri (citrus mealybug)
Lineage: Eukaryota; Metazoa; Arthropoda; Insecta; Hemiptera; Pseudococcidae
Exons: 2
Source: RefSeq, a predicted model, not a curated record